UACAGAGGGUGCAAGCGUUAAUCGGAAUUACUGGGCGUAAAGGGUGCGUAGGUGGUUACAUAAGUUAGGUGUGAAAGUCCAGGGCUUAACCUUGGGACUGCGCCUAAUACUGUGUGGCUAGAGUACUGUAGAGGAAGGUGGAAUUUCCAGUGUAGCGGUGAAAUGCGUAGAUAUUGGAAGGAACAUCAGUGGCGAAGGCGACUUUCUGGACAGAUACUGACACUGAGGCACGAAAGCGUGGGGAGCAAACAGG
Molecule: ribosomal RNA, 253 nt
Filed under: uncultured bacterium
Lineage: Bacteria
Description: partial 16S ribosomal RNA
Rfam family: Bacterial small subunit ribosomal RNA
Source: RNAcentral